This 490-nucleotide ribosomal RNA is filed under the name uncultured bacterium. Its description in RNAcentral is "partial 16S ribosomal RNA". It matches the Rfam family "Bacterial small subunit ribosomal RNA", at positions 30 to 507 of the family's 1533-position model. The record is from RNAcentral.
AUUGAACGCUGGCGGCAGGCCUAACACAUGCAAGUCGAACGGUAACAGGAAGAAGCUUGCUUCUUUGCUGACGAGUGGCGGACGGGUGAGUAAUGUCUGGGAAACUGCCUGAUGGAGGGGGAUAACUGCUGGAAACGGUAGCUAAUACCGCAUAACGUCGCAAGACCAAAGAGGGGGACCUUCGGGCCUCUUGCCAUCGGAUGUGCCCAGAUGGGAUUAGCUAGUAGGUGGGGUAACGGCUCACCUAGGCGACGAUCCCUAGCUGGUCUGAGAGGAUGACCAGCCACACUGGAACUGAGACACGGUCCAGACUCCUACGGGAGGCAGCAGUGGGGAAUAUUGCACAAUGGGCGCAAGCCUGAUGCAGCCAUGCCGCGUGUAUGAAGAAGGCCUUCGGGUUGUAAAGUACUUUCAGCGGGGAGGAAGGGAGUAAAGUUAAUACCUUUGCUCAUUGACGUUACCCGCAGAAGAAGCACCGGCUAACUCCGUG